Apis laboriosa (Himalayan honeybee) is the source of this 1934-nucleotide long non-coding RNA. RefSeq lists it as uncharacterized. Lineage: Eukaryota; Metazoa; Arthropoda; Insecta; Hymenoptera; Apidae. The transcript is spliced from 2 exons. The record is from RefSeq and is a predicted model, not a curated record.
AUAAAACAUGCUGCUUUUACUUGCUGAGAAUUGACAUUCCAAAAUUGAUGAGGAAAGAAGAUAGAACGCAAAACAAAUAAAGAUAAGAUCAUGAUACCACUAUUAAAACAUAAUUAAAAACUAGGCGAUGCUAUAUCUUCAUCGCUCGAUUUUAAAAAUUGAAGAUAAUAUUGAUAAAUCAAUUAAAACAAAUCGAUAAAUCGUGCAGUUACGAUUCAUAGUUGGAUACAAUUAUCAAAUUUUAUAUGAUAUCACUUUUAUGUGAUUCAGUUAGAAAAAUAUCAAGUUGAAGACAAGUUUAAUGGUGAGAUUAUCAAUUCAAGAAAAAUAUAAAUAAAUAUGUCGCGAUCUGAAAAAUACAGAAAGAACAUUAUGACAUGAUUAAGAACUGAAAUAUUGUGCGAAAUCAAAUAAAAAACUCAAAAAUAGAAUAAAGAUGUUAAUCGUUAAUAAAUAUAAGAAAUUGGUUGAAACUGUGAAUAAUCAAAUACAACAUCAAAUUGAUACAAAAAAAAAAUAAAAUAAUGAACGAUAAAUUUGUGCAUUAUCCGUGAAAUUAUAAAUAUAAAAAAGAGGAAGAAAUACAUACAUCAAUUGUUCAUAAUGUCUAUCAAAGCAAAGAAAAAAAAUUUCCAGAAGAAGAAAAAUAAAGAAAAUAGAAGAAGAAACGAUAGCAAUAGAAGCGAUAACAGCAAUGAAGCUCGCGUUAAUAAAUGUGUAAAAUGUACGGAUAUAUUUUUCGUAUUGUUCGAAGUACUUACACGACUUGUUUGCAUAUAAAAAAGUUAAGCAAGAAAAAGUGAAAAUUGAUAGAAGAGUUACAUACAUUUAUGAAAUGAAUUUUCUGAAACAAUGAUUUAUUGUUUAAUAAUUUACAACAAACGAACAUAAUUGGCGAAAAAUCGUAUAAAACAAAAUAGUGAAUUAUAGAGUAUAUUCUCGGUGUAUUUAGCAAGUAUGCAUAGAUCAUAUCUCUCAAGAGCAAAAACGGAAAGAAUUCAAUCAAUUUUCGAUUAAACUUUUUAUAACAAUAUUGCGUAAAAGUUUGUUCAAUUUACAAAUCGAUAUGAGAAAAAAAAUUGUACAAUUCUGAUUUUCAAAACAAAACACAUGAGUUAUUAUUAUUUUAUCUAUAAUAUUAUGAAAGCAUAGCUACGAUAUUAUAAUUGCAUGCUCAACAAUACAAUAUAGAAAUCUUACUGAUUGAUCAGCAUUUAUCGUUGGAUUGAUAUAUUUUUAAAAUAGUAAAACUAUAUCUAAUUAUAAUAAAAAAAAACAUCGUAUUAUAGAAGUGAGACUUAUAGAUAUAAUUCGUGAUAACUUCUAUCUACCGUAAAUAGUAAUAACAUACAUAAAUUUAAUAAAAUUCAAAAUAAAUAUCAUCAAGUUUAAGCUCAAUUGAAGUCAAAGAAAGUGUUUAAAAUUACACGACUUUAGAACAUCGAUAAAGAUAUGUUGAUCGAAAACUUGUAAAAUAAGAAUUCUGGUGAUAUUGCGAUUACCGCAAAUAUCAUAAUUUUUUGAAGAUAUUAACAGAAAUGUAUUAUUGCCAUUAUAUUGCAUUACUUAUUACUCGUGCAUUUAAAUUUGGAAGAUUAAAAAUAUUUACUACUAAGUGAUAUCAUAUAAAUAUUUACUACUAUUACUACUAUAUUUACUACUAUUUACUACUAAUUUACUACUAAAAAAUACUAACAACAUACAGAGAAUAAAUCGAUUACGUAUUUAUUCAGUGAUUUACAAAAUAAUUUCAUCAUUGAAGAAUUUUAUGAACAUGAAUUACAUAUCGCUUGUAUAUCUUUAAAUGUAUAUCUAAUGCAGAAAGUUUUAUGUAAGAAAACGAAAUAUAUAUAAAAUAGUUAAGAUUCAAUACUUUUUAUAAUUUGUCGAUAAACUAAAAUGUAAUUUAAAUAAAAAGAUUUUAUUAAAUUUAA